AGGCCUUGGCAUGCUUUCAGGAAGUCACCAACAGAUAUUGCCGAGAAAAGAAAUCUACAUUGUGCCGAAUGUUUAUCAUCAAUGCUGGCCCUGGUUUUAGGUUGCUGUGGAGGACAAAAUACUGUGACAAUGUCUAGCAGUUGUUUUUGACAUGCUUCUCUAAUUUGGAAGGGCAGGGUUCUCAGAGUUUGAUGAAUAUGUUCCCAUGGUAGACAAAGCUAUGGAUUCAAGCUAGAAGAAAGAAGCGUCCCAUCAAAAGCUCCUGUCUCCUAGAAGUAUGCAAGUAUAUAUUAGAUUUCAUUAGGGAGUUGCAGGCUUUUGCAAGUCAAUGGUUAUAUGUUGUUAUAUGAGGUAUCAUAUUUAGUGGAUUCCAUUUAU
This is a long non-coding RNA of Magnolia sinica, 378 nucleotides long. RefSeq lists it as uncharacterized. NCBI's taxonomy places the organism in Eukaryota, Viridiplantae, Streptophyta, Magnoliopsida, Magnoliales, Magnoliaceae. The record is from RefSeq and is a predicted model, not a curated record. The transcript is spliced from 3 exons.